UACGUAGGGGGGCAAGCGUUGUCCGGAAUCAUUGGGCGUAAAGCGCGUGUAGGCGGCUCGGUAAGUCUGCUCUGAAAGCCCGGGGCUCAACCCUGGGAGGCGGGUGGAUACUGCUGAGCUCGAGUCCGGAAGAGGCGAGUGGAAUUCCUGGUGUAGCGGUGAAAUGCGCAGAUAUCAGGAGGAACACCAAUGGCGAAGGCAGCUCGCUGGGACGGUACUGACGCUGAGACGCGAAAGCGUGGGGAGCAAACAGG
RNAcentral lists this ribosomal RNA (254 nucleotides) under uncultured bacterium. Its description in RNAcentral is "partial 16S ribosomal RNA". It matches the Rfam family "Bacterial small subunit ribosomal RNA", at positions 524 to 776 of the family's 1533-position model. The record is from RNAcentral.